ACCCCAAUUGCAGCCACCACCGCCGUUCGCAACCACCACGACCACUCGCAACAACCACCAACAUAUGGAGGAACAACAGAAUAUAAAAAAGUCGUCAUACAACUUCUAUGUUGAACAUCUGAUCAUCAUUUAACCAAUAAAAGUCAAGCCCCCAUAGAUUUUUGCUUGUUUGAUAUUGUGAACCCAGAUGAAAGGCUUACUGAGGGCAUACUUGUGGCGCAUGAAGUUCUACAUAGAUCAUGUAGUGUUGAGCCUGAUGCAUAGAGUUGGUGUGUCAUAGCAUAUAUUAUUUUAUGUGGGACUAGGCCUUUUGGGCCCGAACUAAAUCUUGGAUUUUUCGGGCUGUUUGGAUGCUCAAGCUUUGAUGAAGUUGUUUUAAAUUGCACAUUUGA
Molecule: long non-coding RNA, 392 nt
Filed under: Helianthus annuus (common sunflower)
Lineage: Eukaryota; Viridiplantae; Streptophyta; Magnoliopsida; Asterales; Asteraceae
Description: hypothetical non coding rna
Source: RNAcentral